Molecule: ribosomal RNA, 446 nt
Filed under: uncultured bacterium
Lineage: Bacteria
Description: bacterial SSU rRNA
Rfam family: Bacterial small subunit ribosomal RNA
Source: RNAcentral
GAUGAACGCUGGCGGCGUGCUUAACACAUGCAAGUCGAGCGAAGCGCUUUUGCGGAUUUCUUCGGAUUGAAGCAACUGUGACUGAGCGGCGGACGGGUGAGUAACGCGUGGGUAACCUACCUCAUACAGGGGGAUAACAGUUGGAAACGGCUGCUAAUACCGCAUAAGCGCACAGUACCGCAUGGUACCGUGUGAAAAACUCCGGUGGUAUGAGAUGGACCCGCGUCUGAUUAGCUAGUUGGUGGGGUAACGGCCUACCAAGGCGACGAUCAGUAGCCGACCUGAGAGGGUGACCGGCCACAUUGGGACUGAGACACGGCCCAAACUCCUACGGGAGGCAGCAGUGGGGAAUAUUGCACAAUGGGGGAAACCCUGAUGCAGCGACGCCGCGUGAGCGAUGAAGUAUUUCGGUAUGUAAAGCUCUAUCAGCAGGGAAGAAAAUGACG